This 42308-nucleotide long non-coding RNA is filed under the name Solanum tuberosum (potato). Its description in RNAcentral is "long non-coding RNA (STUB_LNC010229)". The record is from RNAcentral. Lineage: Eukaryota; Viridiplantae; Streptophyta; Magnoliopsida; Solanales; Solanaceae.
UUUGAAACACCAGCAUGGACCUCGUCGAAAUGCUACUUAUGUAAUUUAGACUCUCAGGAAGUUUGCUUCAAAAUAGUUAUUACUAUAUAAACAUUACCCUUUUGUUUUACUUAUUUACUAUUUCUUAAUAUUUAAGUAUUUUAGACGAAGAAAAGUUCAUAUAACUUGUAAUAAUGUCAGUUGAAGUUUGUAUUAAUUUAAUUUUUAUUAUUUAUUUAAUAGCUAAUUUUAUGAGAUAAAUAUUUUCAUUAUUGCAAAUAUUUAUUUAUAUUUGGGUAAGUAUUUGUAUUUAAAUGAAAGUAUUAUUUAUGCCACAAAUGUAUUAUCAGGUUAGCGAGAUCUUCUAACUUCAAAAUGUAUUAUUUUAAAAUGUUUCGAGUUUUUUUUUUUUUAAAAAAACUCACAACAGAUGUGAAAAUAUGUGAAUAUAUAAAAUAUAGUUGAUCUCUUCACAAGUUCAAAUGACAUCUAAAGAAUUUAACGUAGAAUACACAUGCAAAGCACAUCUGGUUAGAUGACAACAAAAAUACAAAACAAAUAUCGUCUAUAAGGUAAUAUUAGUGAGAUAAGACUAAUUACAUAAUUGAACCUCAUCAAAUUGAAAUAAAUCUAUGCAUAAUUGCAUUUAACUAAUAAAAGUUUUCAUUGAUCAUCUUCAUAAAUUUGCGUGAAGAAAAGAUAUAUAUGACGAUCCACAUUGAACAUUCACAAAAGAAUCUGCAAUAUUAUUUUUUACUAAGCUUAUUAUUCAAAUCUUAAUUUGCUUAAAUACGCAAUACUAUUUACUAUAACACAUAUUUUUGAAAUUGGUAAUCACGUGCAAUGCAUGUGUCAGAAAACUAGUAUAUAUAUAACAUGAGGAAGCAAUAGUUAUUCAUAGCAUGAAAAAAUGUAUCAAAUAAGAUAAUUAAUACACUGUAAGAUGCAUGAUCUUGUGCAUGAUUUGGCUGGAGAUAUUUUAAAGUCUAAACUAUUUGAUCAAAAGAGUGUAGGAGGAGAAAAUCUUUCUCAAGUCCGAUACUUUGGAUGGGACUCACCAAGUGAUAAAAUAGAUAAGAUAAACGAGCAUGGACGUUUGUGCACAUUUUUCUGUAAAAGAAAUAUAUCUGAAGAUAUGCUGUUGAGCUUUCAGUUCUUGAGAGUUAUAAAUUUGUCCAGGUCAGGCAUUGAGGUGUUGUCAGCCAAAAUCGGCAAGCUAAUAUACUUGAGAUAUCUUGAUCUCUCCAGUACUGAGAUCAAAGACUUGCCCAACUCCGUUUGCAAGCUCUACAAUUUGCAAACAUUUAGAGUCAAUGGCUGUUCUUCACUGAGGAAGCUUCCGGAAGAAAUGGCAAAUAUGAAAAGUUUGAGACACAUAUAUUACCAAUCAGAAAUUGAUUAUCAGUUUCAGAUGCCACUUAAUAUGGGGAAAUUGAUCAGUCUUCAGACGCUACAAUUUUUCUACGUAGGUGUAGAGAAAGGUCGUCAAAUAGAAGAAUUAGGUCGUUUGAAAAACCUUAGAGGUGAAUUAACAAUCAAAUGUCUACAAUUAGUCGGCAAUAAAGAAGAGGCUCAAACAGCAUAUUUACAGGAGAAACCAAAUAUCUACAAGCUGGUGUAUUUAUGGUCCCAUGAUGAAUCAGAAGGCUGUGAGAUCAAUGAUGAGCAUGUGUUGUAUGGUCUUCAACCACAUCCUAACUUGAAAACCUUAGUAGUGGAGAACUAUUGGGGGACUAUAUUUCCUUCAUGGUUCAGUGAAGAAUUGCUGCCAAAUUUGGUCAUGUUGAAAUUAAGUGGUUGCAAGAGGUGCAAAGAUAUUCCAUCGCUUGGUCAACUGAAGUUCCUUAGGCAUCUUGAGAUGAUUGGAUUCAUUGAAUUGGAAUGCAUUGGACCUACAUUUUAUGGUGUUGAUAAUGGAUCAAGCAGCAAUAAUGGCAAUAUCCAAGUGUUCCCGUCAUUGAAAGAACUAGUAUUGAAGGAUAUGCAUAGGCUUAUAGAGUGGAAGGGAGAUGAAGUUGGAGUAAGACUGUUUCCUGGGCUUGAGAGGUUGACGAUUACAGAGUGUCCACUGUUAAAAAGUGCUCCAACUCAAUUGGAAACCCUGCAUGAAUUAGAAAUUGAAAGAGUUGACAGUGAAAUGCCAUUGUUGAACUUGUGCAGCAACUUAACAUGUCUUGUGGAUCUUUCUGUCAGUGACGUGAAAGAGCUCACUUGUCUACCUGAUGAGAUGCUACGCAACAAUGCUUCUCUUCAACGCCUAUGUAUCUCAGCCUGCAGAGAGUUUCAUGAAUUACCACAGAGCUUGUACAAUCUCCAUUCCCUUAAGAGCUUAGGAAUAGCCUUGUGCCCCAAUUUCAGUUCUUUUCCGGUUCCCAGUGGAGAGAAUUAUUUAUCUUCCCUCCAAAGGCUUCAGUUACUUUAUUGUGAUGGAUUGACCAGUUUACCAAAUGGAAUGCUAGAACAAUGUCGGUCUCUAAAGAUUUUGAGGGUCAGCAACUGUAAGAACUUGGUUUCCUUCCCUUUACAUGUAUGGGAAAUGCCUUCACUUUCCAUUUUGGAUAUGUCAGAUUGUCCCAAAUUGAUUAGUCUACCCACAGGAGGCCUUCACCGUCUCACUGGGUUACGGCAUUUGAAAAUUGGUCCUUUCUCAGAGAUGGUGGAUUUUGAGGCAUUCCAAUUGUUUUUUAAUGGCAUUCAGCAGCUGUUGUUCCUUCGUACAUUGAGGGUGUACGGACAUGGGCACUGGGAUUCUCUGCCCUAUCAGCUUAUGCAACUCUCUUCUCUAAUUGAGCUCGAAUUAAGUGAUUUCAGUAUCGAGGAUCUUCCUCAUAGUCUUUGCAAUCUUACUUCUCUUGAAACAUUACAUCUAGAGGGGUGCAAACGGCUACAACAUGUGGACUUCAGAGGUGCCAUGCCCAAAUUACAUUAUCUUGAGAUCUAUUGUUGUCCAUUGUUAGAAUCUCUGUCGGAUGGACUCAGCAACCUUGUUUGUUUGGAAACGUUAAUUUUUUGGAACUGCGAAAUACUAGAGCGUCUGCCAUCCAGAGAUGUCAUGCAAAGCCUCACGAAAUUACAGUACCUGGAAAUUAAAGACUGCCCACAGUUAGAAGAAAGUUGCACCAAUUGGAGUAGCCCAAACUCCCAGUGGUCCAACAUUUCCCAUAUUCCAAAAAUUAAAGUAGGCUGGAGGAUAAUCCAGGAUAGACGUAAGUCUCUGUUUCUCUUUCACUUUCUGAGUCCAUUUUUUAAAUAUUAUUUUCUACGAGUUCCAGAAAAAAAGCUUUGUAUGUGAUUUUUUUUUUCCUGCAACAUUUUGACGUUAAAAAAUGCAAAAUUAACAAUCAAGUGCAUCUGUGCUAUGCUUUCAACAUUCUGCGUGUCCACUUGAACCGAAUUGUUCUUCUUCUAAUUCUUCAAGUAUGGUAUAUCUUGCUAUGCUUUAAUCAUGUAAUUUAUGUUUUUUUUUCCUUAUAGGUUACUAGUUUCAAGGUCAUGCACUCAUGCUAGAACGUCGCUGUGGCAAAUCAAGCUAAAUCCCAUGAGCGGCAGGCAAUUACGUUAGGUAAAUUUUCAUUUAGAAUUUAUAGGCACUUUGUAAUCUACUUAUUUUUUGGGAACCAAUUUUCGGAGGUCUAUGCUGAUGAAUACAAUAUUACCUUUCCUAAAAGAAAAGUUUAAUCAUGAAAAAAUUAUGUUUCUUCUCAUAGGUUACUAGGUGAAUAAGUAAUUUAUUAUUUACUUAUUGGUGAAACGCUAGAGGUAACAGAACCAUUUCUUUCAGAAAUCCACUUACAUAAGCUUUGAUGCAAGACAUAUUUCCUUUUGGUCCGAAAUGUGACUUGUACUGAUGGUAGAAGCUUCUUCAUUUUUUGUUGACCGUCUUCAACAGUAUUUCCUUUUAAUUUUCAGGGGACAGAUAGGAACAUUUCGCUUCAGUGACUGUGGUUGCAUGAAGCUUGAAAGUUCAAGGUAAGUGAAUUUUUUGUCCAUAAAGAUAGCAAAUGGUGUCAAUACUUUUUUCUCUGGAAUGGAUUUUCUUUUUCCUCUAAAUGUUGUUUUUAAAUCAUCUCACUUAUCUAAAAUCUCGUUUACUUUUCUUAGUAUAUUGAAAACUCUCAAGGAACUAUUUCCAUGUCCACAUAUGGUAGAAAUCUAUAUAAGUUUGUUAAUAGGCUCAUAAAAGAAUAAUCUUUUCUGCAACGCUGGUUUUAUUUUCAUGCUUUAGACAGUAGAACUUUUAUGAAUAUAUGACACACUUCUCAUUACUUUCACUUCACAGGCCAAUUUCUCCGUUCAUUAAAGCUUCCGUGAAUGAAGGACUUCAACAAAGAUAGUUGUCAUGAAUCUUAUAGCAAAGAGUGUCCCAUUAGCAGUAUCUGUUCAUCUUAAACAGGUUUGGCUUUCUCUUUUUUUUAGUGGUUACUUGUAAUGAUCGAUCUGCUUCUCUAUUCUUCCAAGGAGGAAACAUGUGCCAAAACUGACUUUUUACCAUUUCCCGUGUUCCAGAUUCAUGUUUGAAAUACCAUCAUGGACCUCGUCGAAAUGCUACUUGUGUUAGAUGUGUUUCAAUGUCAUAAUUGGCAAGGGAAAUUGCAUUCCGUAAACUCGUUUGCAUUUGGCUGAAUUGGAUUGGAGAUAUCAUUUCCUUGAAUGUACGAAAUCCCAGAAAAGUGAAAUUAGUUGAGCUUGAUGUUGGUCCAAUUCUAAACUAAAUUAACUGGCACUGUCGAAAGAGCAACUUAUGUCUUGUGAUUUUUAUUUUACUGGUAUGUGAGACGUGCAUUACACGUUUAUCCCAAAAUACUUUAUACAAAUUUUGUAUUGUAAAUAAUAAAUUUAAAUGACACAUAUAUUAUUGAAUUUUCUAUGUGUCAUAAAAUAAAAAUCAAAGCAUACAAAAUAAAAGUAACCACUCAUAAAUUGAGGUUAGAAAAUCUUGCAAAUUUGAUGCUACAUAGCACAUAUAUAGUAUUUUAAUUUAAAGAUAAAUACAUAUUAUAAUAGUAAAAGUAUUUAAAUCGUGAAAUUAACUAUUAUGCAUGAAAAAUAAAAACUAAAUCGAUACAUAUAUAUUGAAUUGCAUCUUCUUCUUUUUUUACCAUAAUUUCAAUAUUAACGCUUUCCCUCUUCUUCUUUUUUUUCUUUUGAAAUGAUUUUUUUAGGAAGCCUAGGAUCAUCCAUUAACUGUUGUCUCCGAUGAUGACAGGAGUCUUCUGAACAAAAUUGUUGAGUUCAAUUUGAUUAGUUUAAUUUCCGUGUUUAAUUAGUUGGAUCAUAACAAACCAUCAGUUGAUAGUAGAGUGGUGGACACCCAGAGAAGACCAAUUUUGAUUGGCACUGGGUUUGUAUGCUAAGGCUUCCCCUCCAGCCCUAAAAUAAUGAAACCACCAAGAACCAUAUGAGUCACUACACCUAUUAGUAUAAAUAUAUACAUGUCCGCUUCUUUUUUCCUUCCACAUAUUCCUCAUUUGCAUCUUAAUUUUUUUAGUUAUUAUUGAAGAUUUUUGUUUGUGCUUAUGAGUUUCAUGUUAUAUUUUUCUUUUUGGAAAAGGGCCUAAAAUACCCUUGAACUAUUGAAAAUGGUACAAAAUUACCCUCCAUCAACCUAUUGGCUUCCAAAUUAUUUUCUUUUCCUGGUUAAGUUUGAUACUAAAAUUAAAAUUCAUAAAAUAAAUUCAUUUUUUCAUUAAGUUGUAUUAAUUUAAUAGGAUAGUGACUUAAAAUUUUAUUUUUUAGAGGUCAAGAAAUUGAGUUAUUUUUUAUUGAACCACUUUCAUUUACUAUCUUGAAUAUUUUAGUAGCUUUAAAGAAAUUAUUUUAAUAAGUAACGUUCUAUCACUCUUAUAACAUGUAAAAAUUAAAAUUGAAUUUAAACCCACAUAAAAUCACAUAUACCCGCUGUAGACACCCAAUUUUGACCCUCCCCGAUAAUAAUUAUUUCACGAGCUUCUUAAUUCCCCAAACGAUUUAGAAUAAUUAGUUUAUAAAAUUCAAAUAAUUUUCAAGUCAUUUUAAGUAGUUUUGUCAUUUUUAUAAUUUUAAAUAAUAAAUAUGAUAUUUUAUAUUAUUAUGUGUCUAAUUAGUAUAUUUUAUGAAUGUUCGAAAAUUGUCUCUAAAGGAUUUUAGUUUCAUUUAAAUAUUUGGUUAUUUAGUUUAAAUUAAUUAAUAGCUUAUAUUUUGAGUUAAUUAGUUUAUAAUUCAGUUAAUUAUUAUAUAAUUAUGUGUCUAAUUAGUAUAUUUUAUGAAUGUUCGAAAAUAGUCGACAAAAAGUAUUUUUGUUUAAAUAAAAUAUUUGGUUAAUUAGUUUAGUUACAUAAUAUUUUAUAUUUUAAAUUAUUUGGUUUAUAAUUAAGUCAAUUAUUUUAUUUUGCUGAAAUUAAGAAGCUUAUUGAUUAAUCUAUAUUAAUUCAUCUUGCUUAAUUACUAGUCGAACUUAUCCUAGUCAACUAAGUUUGACUACAUUUGGCUUUAAUUUAAAUUCAUGUAGCCAAAGUUUAAAUCCAAUUCUAGCUUUAUCAAUUUUUAAAGGACCAAAUUUUGGUCCUUUUCUCAAAUUUGACCAAAAUCAUGGCCCAACAGCCCAUAUCCAAACAAUACGUACAUCAAACAACCAAACCGACCCCACCCUUUUUUCUUUUUUCCAGCAAUUCCCAACUACCUAGGCCCACCAUUUUAAUUCCUCCAACAAUACUAAAAUAAUAACAACAUACACCAAACCGGCCCCCAUCUGCAUCGUUCUUCUUCUUCGCAGAAACGAACAACAGCCCAAAAACGAACAGCAGCCCAGAACGAGCAGCAGCCCACCGCGACAGCCAGCGAAUCAAAUCGACCCGGAACCGGCAGUCCAAAGGCGUUAACACAUCUCCCUCACAUCCCUCUCCGUGGUACGAUUUGAGCAGAGAAAAGCAGCACGCGCUCCGUCCUCCUUUCCCCUUUCGGAAUGAGUCAAGACUUCAAGGGAAAGGGUGUUUGUCCGAAAUGGUGAAAGUUUGGAGUUUGAAUUUCGAAUUUGGGGCCCUUGUUUCUACCCGGUUUUGGUCCUUUUCCCCCCAUUUCCGAACCCGAUUUUUCCUUCUAUAUAGGUUGUUUUGUUGUUCACGAAAGAGGGGAUAUUUUUUGGAGUUGAAAAUUUUUGUGUCAAGGAAAUAUUGAAAAAAGUUUAGAAGAAAAACAGAGAAAAAAGGCUAGACGAAAAUGGGGAAAAUUGAAAGAAAAAAUUGAAAAGGUUUGGGAAAAAUGGUCAAAAGAUAUAUAGAAAGGGGAAUAGAAAUAUAGUUUACACCAUAGUUUAUUUCGAGUAUAGCAAAUAGGCACGAAGGAGUUUCUAGCUUGUUCAUCGUUAGCCGGAGCUUGUCGUAGUUCCGUCAUUGGUAGAAGUCGUUGCUCCUCCGCUUGUUGGUUCUAGUCGCUGCCCGCCAAAAGUCUCUUGGACUCUUACUUCUCGUAGUUGCAUUUCAAGUUGGGCCAUGAAGGCCCAAAAUCCUUUCUUUUCAAGUCCAUCUUUAUCAGAUUGAUAUGCCAGACACCGGCGAACAGGUCAUUUUGGAAGCUGAACAUGUCCUCGAAAGUCAACGCAUUGGGACCAUAGCUGAUACAUAAUGAUAUACAGCAAUAUACACCAAGUGUAUAUGCUGUAUAUAUGGCAGAAUGGGGCCCAAAAGCCCAUCUCUUUAUCUUAAUUUGUAUUUUGUUAUUUUGGGCCUAAGCCUUUAUCAUUCCGAUUAUUAUUAUUCUGUUAGUUCUCAGGACAGGUAAAAGAAUUGGGCCUAAGGCCCAAAGAUAAAAUAUAUUUCUUUAUAUUAGACUAGGACAGGUGCGGGUGACUCAAGUAGGCCAAAGGGCCCAAAACGAAAAUAGGCCCAAGUAUUGGUCCAGGCGGACAGAAAAACCAAACUUGGGCCCAGACCUCUUUCCCUCUUUGUUUUAUUAUGUUUACUUAUUUAUUAGUAUUUGUCGUUAAUCUUAGGGUCGAAAAGUUCAAAUCCCCGAGAGACGCUCAUUUCGUUUUAACAAUGUAACUAAACUGGUCAUCUCUUAACAAGACUUAAACAAACAAUUUUGUAAGAUAGUCCACUUAGAUAAUAUUUAAAUAUUUCCCUUUUUUCCCCUUUAAAAUAGUUCUAAUUACAAAACAAAUCAAUUUUGCAAUUUAAGUUAAAGUUAAAUCUUUUCAGCCGAGUAAAUUAAUUGUCGGAUAACCGCAUUAGCGGAUAUUCUAGGUGCCUUAAAAACCUUCCUAGAAUAUUAAUAAGAACCCCCGAACCCCCUUAAGUAUUUUCAAUUGAUGCCCUGUUUUAAUCUAUUGAAAAACAAUUUUCUUGAUUUUUCUUAAAAAUUAAGUGGCGACUCUUAAACCAGUCAAAUAAUAUUUUCCUAAUGAAACAGAAUGGCGACUUCCACUGGGAAUUUGAAUGGUUCUAACCUUAAGAUUCAUUUAUUUGUCUAUGUGAUUUAACUGUCUACUUGUUUUAUUUAUCGUAUAUAUUGAACUGUUGCAUUCAUGGCAUGACAUAUUUCGUCAAAUGAUAAUUAUUUUAAUUUCCAUCUAAAGGACGAUUAUGCGGGCCGUAGUCGUUCGUUAACCAAAUUAUUCUCGGGGCACCCUGACGAAUGUAGUUGGCUACUGGAUAGUCAACGGUCGUUAACUGUCCCAGCCCAAGUUGUCCGUUUGGGUCACCUAUCCAUUAUAAACGAAGCCCACUCUUAGUCAAGACUAGCGUAGAGCCAAACUCAGCUAGCGCAUCAAACUAAGAUGACCCAACACCCAAGGUGUGUUAGGCCCAUUAGAGAGACCACCUUGAGUUCAAAACGGCCCACGGCCUAAAUGAACGAUCAUAUUUAUGUGUUUAAAUUUGAAAGAUGUAUACGUUGUUUGACAAACCAUUGUCUCUUAGGGUAGAGAGCUUAAUAAUUUGUUCGAGUCGAAGAAGGAUCAAAUUACUAGUCCAUCCAAAGGCAUUGACACUCGGAGAUGACAAGAAAUCAAUAAAGAAGAGGGACCUCACAUGGAAGAAUAGUUUAGGAUUGUACCCCUCUGUGGGAUUAAUUAUUUGUAUCCCUUUUCCCUAUUAUGUAUCCUCAUUUAGUUUAUUUAUAAAACUUGUAUAAUUUUGGGUUUUAGGGGGCAAUGGAAUGUUUCAAAUGACAUAUACAUCCUUCAAAUCGUUAGGCCUACCCUUGGCAUAAAAGGGUCACAUAUCUGUUUAAAAAUGCAUAAUAUUUGUUUGUGUGCUAUGUGAUUAACUGUUUGUGUGAAUAUGUUGCUUCAUUUGGAGAUAUUCUAGCUUACUCUUCUUCGAAUUAUUUUUAGAACCCCUAAGCACAAAUAUCAAGUCACUAUCAAAAGUGCGUCCAAAUACUCUUCGAGUUUUUAGUUUCCUAACAAAAUUUGAACUUCACUUUCAAAUUCAUACUCUUAUAUCUCAGAAAAGGUCGAUUUACUCAAGUCAAAAAGAAAGGUCGAACUACGUAGGACCUGAAUUCUCUUUUGUGAGAUACGUAGGCAGCCUUUCAAGGUUCGGUCCCCAUUUUUGAGAAAUUCUAUAUUUCCAACUCUUACAAAGAAAUUAGAGUUACAUCUCAAUCGAAAAGCAAAGUAUGACAAUGAAAUAUACAAUAGAUUUUGUCUCGACUCAAGUCGACAUUCAGGUCCAUUAAGCUCAAAAAUCAAAUAGUCAAAUUUUCGUCUAUUUAGUCAUUUAUUUAUGUGGGCUAGUUUAUCUUCAAAUGAAACAACUUUUAUGUGUUUACAAUAAUGUGUGUGAUAUUUUGUAUUAUUUAUCAUCGACACAGACUAACACAUUUGCCUUUGAGUUGUUUUUCUUUGUCAGGUACUUAAAACUGAUCUGUGUUGAGAAAAAUGGCUGGACAUCCGUACUUCACAAGGUCCAAAGACCCCAAAGAUUUCUUCUACGACCAAUGUUUGUCAAAAGGCAAAGAAAAAGUAGUUGAAAAUGUUGAGAAUACAAAUUUGACCGAAAUUACUGUGAAUGACCUCAUCAUUGUCGAACAUAACAAGUUGAUUGCACAAUUGUUCCAACAGAUUGCUGAAAUGAGGGCGGAAAUGGAUAAGACACGAAAUUUGACGAAUCUAGCUAUUAGUGCCGACACUCCUACUCUAGACAACGGAAGACCUCCACUCCAUUUUCCUACUUCGGAUCCAACACUCAAGGAUUUUUCAAACAAUUCAUCCCCCUCUACCAUUCCAAAACCUCCCAUCAUCGACUUAACCACCCCUAACCCACAUCAUGCUAGCUCUUCACACCAAAAAUUACCCUACUCCUCCAAAUCCAAAUACCAACACUUUCCAGAAUUUUCCUCAUGUCCAUCAAACCCUUACUCAAAUUGUCGAAAACCCACCUACAACUCAACCCAUACCCUUAAAAACCGCAUUUCAUCUUCCAAUAUCGCCAGAAUCAUACCAUCCAUUUACUACACAUGUUGAACUCGAGCAUUAUGAGAAGAAUGAAAAGGAAUGGAAGGUCAUAAAGGGAAAGACUGAGCAAAGCAUCAGAGAGGAAGUUAUGGAUGCAAUGAAGAACUUUCAAUACACACCAGACAUUGCGGGGCUGAAUUAUGAAGAUUUGUGUCGUCAUCCACAUUUGGAGCUUCCAGAAGGUUUUAAAGUACCAAAAUUUGACACUUAUAGUGGAGUUGAAAAUCCUUUUACUCAUUUGAGGUCUUAUUGUGAUCAACUUAUUGGAGUAGGGAGAGAUGAAGCUUUGCUAAUGCGACUCUUUAGUCGUAGCCUGAAAGGAGAAGCCUUGGAAUGGUUUAUUUCUAAAGAAAUCAAGCAGUGGCCAAGUUGGAACGCUUUGGCUACUGAUAGUAGAGGUUCUUCAGUUUCCAUUUACUGUGUCUUCAACAGUAUUCCUUUUUCCUGGUUAAUUUUCGGGGGACAGAUUGAAACAUUUUGCUUCAGUGGUGACUGUGGUUGCGCGAAGCUUGAAAGUUCAAGGUAAGUUAGUUAUAUGUUCAUGCUGUAGACAGUAAAACUUUUAUGAAUAUAUGACACACUUGUCGUUACUUUCACUUCACAGGAUAAUUUCUCUGCUCAUUAAAACUUCCGUGAAUGAAGGACUUCAACAAAGAUAGUUGUCACAAAUCUUAUAGCAAAGAGUUCUCCCAUUAGCUCUUAAAAUGUCCUAAGCAGUAUCUGUUCAUCUUAACAGGUUUUGCUUUCUCCUUUUUUUAGUGGUUACUUAUAAUGAUCUGCUUCUCCAUCCUCCCAAUUAGGAAACGUGUGCCAAACUAACUUUUUACCAUUUCCUGUGUUUCAGAUUCAUGUUUGAAACACUAGCAUGUUACUUGUGUUGGAUGUGUUUCAGUGUCAUCAUUGGCAAGGGAAAUUGCACUCCGUAAGCUCAUUUGCAUUUGGCUGAAUCUGGAUUGGAGAUAUUACUUCCCUGUAUGUGGAGAUCCCGGAAAAGGGUCACGAGUGAUUGUCAAUUGAGCUUUUCGCGUAUACUGAAAUGAGAGUCCAAUGGUCCAGUCGGAACACCCAGCCCACAGCUCCUGAAAUUCUAAACUGAAUUAACCUGGCAGUGUUGAAUAGCAUUCAAAGUAGAAAGAGCAACUUAUGCCAGUUACUUUGCUACAUUUCUCUACCAUGGUUGUAUGUUGUGUAUAGAGCAACUUGUGUCUUGCAAUUUUAUUUUAUUGUUUUGAUGUCAGAAAUACUUUCAGCAAGACAAUAUUACAUGGUGUUAGGGUUACAACGUAACUUGUUAUCCAAAUCGACAAAUAAAUAAUUUUAUAAUACUUAUUAAGUUUGACUUCAAGUAAGAAUAUAACUAGUUUAAUGAAAUAUUAACCAAAUUGUUUCCCAAUGAUCACAAUGAAGCACAAAAGAUAUGUGUGAUUCAAUCAUUACGGCUCUUUAGGAUGUUUUGAUAUCGUGUAUAUGAAUCAUGGUUUGCUCAUUUGNNNNNNNNNNNNNNNNNNNNNNNNNNNNNNNNNNNNNNNNNNNNNNNNNNNNNNNNNNNNNNNNNNNNNNNNNNNNNNNNNNNNNNNNNNNNNNNNNNNNNNNNNNNNNNNNNNNNNNNNNNNNNNNNNNNNNNNNNNNNNNNNNNNNNNNNNNNNNNNNNNNNNNNNNNNNNNNNNNNNNNNNNNNNNNNNNNNNNNNNNNNNNNNNNNNNNNNNNNNNNNNNNNNNNNNNNNNNNNNNNNNNNNNNNNNNNNNNNNNNNNNNNNNNNNNNNNNNNNNNNNNNNNNNNNNNNNNNNNNNNNNNNNNNNNNNNNNNNNNNNNNNNNNNNNNNNNNNNNNNNNNNNNNNNNNNNNNNNNNNNNNNNNNNNNNNNNNNNNNNNNNNNNNNNNNNNNNNNNNNNNNNNNNNNNNNNNNNNNNNNNNNNNNNNNNNNNNNNNNNNNNNNNNNNNNNNNNNNNNNNNNNNNNNNNNNNNNNNNNNNNNNNNNNNNNNNNNNNNNNNNNNNNNNNNNNNNNNNNNNNNNNNNNNNNNNNNNNNNNNNNNNNNNNNNNNNNNNNNNNNNNNNNNNNNNNNNNNNNNNNNNNNNNNNNNNNNNNNNNNNNNNNNNNNNNNNNNNNNNNNNNNNNNNNNNNNNNNNNNNNNNNNNNNNNNNNNNNNNNNNNNNNNNNNNNNNNNNNNNNNNNNNNNNNNNNNNNNNNNNNNNNNNNNNNNNNNNNNNNNNNNNNNNNNNNNNNNNNNNNNNNNNNNNNNNNNNNNNNNNNNNNNNNNNNNNNNNNNNNNNNNNNNNNNNNNNNNNNNNNNNNNNNNNNNNNNNNNNNNNNNNNNNNNNNNNNNNNNNNNNNNNNNNNNNNNNNNNNNNNNNNNNNNNNNNNNNNNNNNNNNNAAAAAAAAUGAGAAAAUAUCUAUGCUUUAUGUUUUGUUGCUUUGUAUACGUUAGCCUAGCAUGUGGUAUUUUAGAAUCCUCAUUUGAAUAUUGUAUUUGUACAAUAGUUAGUUAAUUUUACUUUAUGCACUUAUAUAUUCUUUUUAUUAGGAAAAUCUAUGUACUUUCUAUUGUAAAAAUGAUGAUUUUUUUAGUAAAUAUCAAUAGAUUUGAAGGACAUAAAAUAUGUUAUUUGCAAUCAAAAUUUAUAUGAAGUAUUUUGGGAUAAACUAGAACUAGUUAUUCGAUAAAGUGGUGCACUUUUAAUCCCAACCCAAAUUUCCGUUAGGUUUUUUACCAGACAAAAGGUUCAAAAUGUGUCUCCUUAUUGAAUUUGUGGAAGAUAAGGUUAGUGCUAAAUCCUUUAGAUAAGGUAAGUGAUUAGUAUGUAAUUGCAGGGGAAAUGUUUAAGUUUUUCAUAGAGUUAAAUGGCUAAAAACACACCUCAAUCCUGUGUGUUUUCGCGAGUUAGAUAAUAAAACUAUCACAAUCUUUGUAUUAAAACACACCUCAAGUACUAAUUGGAAAGUGACCAUAGGAAGAAAACAUCUCAUUUAAUCUUGCAGCACUCCAUAACUUGAUCCAUAUCACGGGAACGUAACAACUUGGUAUCAUAGACAGGAGUUAUAAGAAAACAUCUGAUUUCAUCUGAUUUUCUUCUGUCUAAUUUGAUGACUUAUGAGUAAAUCUGAGACGAUGACCUUUGAUAAUGUCUGUGCCACUCAACUAUGCUCUAUCCAGAUGAUGUUCUCAAAAUUUUCAACAAUUUAGUAAUUUAAGUGCAUAUAGCUUAAGGAUAAAAAAACUGGUCAGUUACAAUUUUUUCUUAUUUAUGCUUUCAGGUAACUGGAAACAGUCCUCUGAUUUUAUCCGUGAACUAGCAAAAGAAGACGACUUUGUGAAGGAGCAAAAAUAACAAUGGCCGAUCCAGUAAUUGGUGCUACUGUUCAAGUUGUGCUUGAGAAGCUGCUUUCUCUCACUAUUGAGGAGGCCAAAACUUUAAGGAACUGCAAGAAAAAUCUCAGAAUGCUCACAAAAUAUGUAUCCAUCAUCCAAGCUUUCAUUCAUGAUGCUGAAAGACGACAAGUCGAAGAUCAGGCUGUGGAAGAAUGGCUCAAGAUGCUUGAGAGAGUUGCUGAAGAUGCUGAAAAUGUGUUUGACAAAUUCACAUAUGAAUCUCUCAAAGCACAAGUGAUGAAAAACCGAGCCAAACUACUGGAAAAAGUUCAUAGCUUCUUUUCUAAUACUGCUUUUAAGUACAAAAUGUCUCGAAAAAUCAACAACAUCAAUGAAGAGUUGAGGGCUAUCAAUCAGUUAGCCAAUGACCUCGGUCUCCAAUCACUGACUGUUCCUUCUCGCAAAAUACUACAAAUCAGAGAAACAGAUUCCUUAGGAGUUGCUUCGGAUGUUGUUGGUAGAGACAAAGAUGUUGCUGAAAUAAAGGAGAAGAUGUUGAACAUGAGAGAGGAAGUUGUUCGGUGUGCCAUUCCCAUAGUGGGCAUGGGGGGUUUAGAGAAAACUACCAAAACAACUUUGGCCAAGAGAAUUUUCAAUGAUGAACAGAUCGAGAAGCACUUUGAAAAGAGAGUAUGGUUAUGUCUACCUGAAAUGUCAGAAAUUAAGAGCUUUCUUGAACUGAUCCUCGAAGCAUUGACUGAGAGGAAACUUGAGGUCCAGAGUAGAGAUAUUAUAGUCAAGAAGGUCCGAGAUGAACUGGCAGGAAGAAAGUAUUUGAUUGUCCUGGAUGAUUUGUGGCGUGUUGACCCAACAUUGUGGGAUGAGUUUGUGGACACCUUGAGAGGAAUAAAUACAUCCCGAGGAAACUUCAUUCUUGUGACUACUCGUAUGGAAUUGGUGGCAUCCACUGUAGUAGCAGCAGUAGGUCCUCAUAUGUUGGAAAAAUUAGAAAAAGAUCACUGUUGGUCGAUUUUCAAACAAAGAGCAUUUGUUGAUGGGGAAGUUCCGGAGGAAAUACUGAGUGUGGAGAACAGGAUUGCUGAAAUGUGUCAAGGUCUACCGUUGGCUGCAAGUGUUUUGGGAGGCCUCUUGCGCAACAAGGAGAAGCAUGAAUGGCAGGCAAUUCUUGAUGGAAACCCCCUUGUUGCAGGUGAAAAUAGCUUAAAGAAAAUCCUAAAACUCAGCUAUGUUCAUCUACCAUCUCCAUAUCUAAAAAAAUGUUUUGCUUACUUUGCAAUGUUUCCAAAAGAUUUUAAGUUUGAAAAGAACCAACUAGUCCAACUCUGGAUGGCAGAAGGGUUUCUUCGUCCAAGUCAAGAGAUUCCUGUUAUGGAAGACGUAGGGAACAAGUUUUUUCAACUUUUGUUGCAAUAUUCCUUGCUGCAAGAUGUUGAGCUAGAUGAGCACAACAAUAUAACACACUGUAAGAUGCAUGAUCUUGUGCAUGAUUUGGCUGGAGAUACAUUAAAAUCUAAACUAUUUGAUACGAAAAGUGUUGGAGGUGAAAAUCUUUCUCAAGUUCGAUACAUUGGAUGGGACUCACCAAGUGAUCAAAUGGAUACGAUAAAUGAGGCAGGACGUUUGUGCACAUUGUUCUGGAAAAGCAAUAUAUCUGAUGAUAUGCUAUUGAGCUUUCAGUUCUUGAGACUUUUAAAUUUGUCUGGAUCAGGCAUCAAGGAGUUGUCAGCCAAAAUCAGCAAGCUAAUAUACUUGAGAUAUCUUGAUCUCUCCAACACUCAGAUCAAAGACUUUCCCAACUCCAUUUGCAAGCUCUACAAUUUGCAAACGUUUAGAGUCAAUGACUGUUCUUCACUCAGGAAGCUUCCAAAAGAAUUGGCAAAAAUGAUAAGUUUGAGACACGUAUAUUACAAACCAUCAAUUUAUGAUCAGUUUCAGAUGCCACUUAAUAUGGGGCAAUUGACCAGUCUUCAGACGCUACAGUUUUUCUACGUAGGCUUAGAGAAAGGUCGUCGAAUUGAAGAAUUAGGUCGUUUGAAAAACCUUAGAGGUGAAUUGUCGAUCAGAUGUCUCCAAUUAGUCAGAAAUAAAGAAGAUGCUCAAACAGCAUAUUUAAAGGAGAAACCAAAUAUCUACAAUCUAGCAUAUUUAUGGUUCCAUGAUGAAUCAGAAGGCUGUGAGAUCAAUGAUGAGCAUGUGUUGGAUGGUCUUCAACCGCAUCCUAACUUGAAAGCCUUAUCAGUAGUGGACUAUUUAGGGACUAAAUUUCCUUCAUGGUUCAGUGAAGAGUUGCUACCAAAUUUGGUCAAGUUGAAACUAAGUGGUUGCAAAAGGUGCAAAGAAAUUCCAUCCCUUGGCCAACUGAAAUUCCUUCGGCAUCUUGAGCUGGAAGGAUUCCAUGAGUUGGAAUGCAUUGGACCUGAUUUAUAUGGUGUUGAGAUUAGCAAUAAUGGAUCAAGCAGCAUUAUCCAAGUGUUCCCGUCAUUGAAAGAACUAGUAUUAGAGAAUAUGCGCAGCCUUAUUGAGUGGAAGGGAGAUGAAGUUGGUGUUAGAAUGUUUCCUAGGCUUGAGAAGUUGACGAUUACAGACUGUUCACUGUUAAAAAGUACUCCAAGUCAAUUUGAAAUCCUGCGUGAAUUAAGAAUUGAAUUAGUUGACAGUGAAAUGCCAUUGUUGAACUUGUACAGCAACUUGACAUCUCUUGUGGAUCUUUCUGUUAGGAAUGUGCAAGAGCUCACUUGUCUUCCAGAUGAGAUUCUACGCAACAACGUUUCUCUUCAAUACCUAUCAGUCUCAUACUGCGGAGAGUUUCGUGAAUUGCCACAAAGCUUGUACAAUCUCCAUUCUCUUAAGAGAUUAAUGAUUGCCAACUGCACCAAUUUCAGUUCUUUUCCUGUUCCCUGUGGAGAGAACUAUUUGACUAACCUCCGAAGGUUGGAUUUAUUCAAUUGUAAUGGAUUGACCAGCUUACCAAGUGGAAUUCUAGAGCAUUGUCGGUCUCUGAUAGUUUUUAAUGUCUGCAAUUGUAAGAACUUAGUUUCAUUGCCUUUACACGUGUGGGAAAUGCCUUCACUUUCCUAUUUGGAUUUAUCAGAUUGUCCCAAAUUGAUUAGUGUACCCGCAGGAGGCCUUCACUGUCUCACCGGGUUAAGGAGAUUGGAAAUUGGUCCUUUCUCAGAGAUGGUGAAUUUUGAGGCAUUCCAAUUGAUUUUUAAUGGCAUUCAGCAGUUGUUGUCCCUUCGUAGAUUGGGUGUGUGGGGACGUGGGCACUGGGAUUCUCUGCCCUAUCAGCUUAUGCAACUCUCUGCCCUAACAGAGAUCAAAAUAUGCAAUUUCGGAAUGGAGGCUCUUCCUCAUAGAUUUGACAACCUUACUUCUCUUGAAACAUUACAAGUAGAGGAGUGCGAGCGGCUAUGGCAUUUGGACUUCUCAGAUUCCAUGUCAAAAUUACGGCAUCUCAGGAUAUAUGCUUGUCCAUUGUUAGAAGCUCUGUCAGAUGGGCUCGGCAACAUUGUUUCUUUGGAAAAAUUAGUUUUACAUCACUGCCAAAAACUAAAACAUCUGCCAUCCAGAGAUGCCAUGCAACGCCUCACCAAAUUACUGUACCUGGAAAUUGGAAGCUGCCCACAGUUAGAAGAAAGUUGCACCAAUCGGAGUAGCCCAAACUCCCAGUGGUCCAACAUUUCCCAUAUUCCAGAAAUUCAAGUAGGCGGGACGAUGAUUCAGGAUACACGUAUGUCUCUGUUUCUCUUUCACUUUCUUAGUCGAUUUUUCAAAUAUUAUUUUCAUGAGUUCCACACAAAAAGCUUUGUAUGUAAUUUAAUAUUAAAAAUGCAAAAUUAAAUCAAUCAUUUGCAUAUGUGAUAUACUUUCAGCAUUCUGCUUGUCCACUUGAACGACUUGUUUUUCUUUUAAUUCUUCAAGUAUGGUAUAUCUUGAUAAUACUUAGGGUGUGUUUGGUAUGAAGGAAAAUGUUUUCCUGGAAAACAAGUUGAUUUUUGACUUAUUUUCUCAUUUUUGGUUGGUGAGUAGAAAAUAGUUUCCGAAAAAGAUUUUUAGUAUUUGAUUUAUGAAUGAUUUUUUUUUUGAGAAAUAUCUUUUAUUUUUACUAGGGUAGAAAAUAAUUUUUGAAAUUGAAAAUAUUUUUUAAAAACAAACUUAAUUUUUUUUGGGGUGGGGUGGUAGGGGUGGGUNNNNNNNNNNNNNNNNNNNNNNNNNNNNNNNNNNNNNNNNNNNNNNNNNNNNNNNNNNNNNNNNNNNNNNNNNNNNNNNNNNNNNNNNNNNNNNNNNNNNNNNNNNNNNNNNNNNNNNNNNNNNNNNNNNNNNNNNNNNNNNNNNNNNNNNNNNNNNNNNNNNNNNNNNNNNNNNNNNNNNNNNNNNNNNNNNNNNNNNNNNNNNNNNNNNNNNNNNNNNNNNNNNNNNNNNNNNNNNNNNNNNNNNNNNNNNNNNNNNNNNNNNNNNNNNNNNNNNNNNNNNNNNNNNNNNNNNNNNNNNNNNNNNNNNNNNNNGGGUUGGUUGGGGGGCUGGUUUGAGGGUAGGGACAAAAUAAAUUGAUUUUUUCAACAAUUUUUUUUUUAAUUGGAAGUUGGAAGAGAGUUUUGGAAAAUGUUUUCCUUAAGUUUUGAAGAGAAGUCAUUUUCCUUAAAUUUGAGGAAAAUGAGUUGAUUUGAAAAACAUUUUCCAAAAAUUUAACCCAAUCAAACAUGAGAAAAUUGGAAAACAUUUUCCGAAAAAUGUUUUCCUUCAUACCAAACACACCCUUAAUCAUGAAAUUUAUGUUUUUUUUUUCCUUCUAGGUUACUAGUUCCAAGGUCAUGCUAGAACAUCGAUGUGGUAAAUUAAGCCAAAUCCCAUGAGCAGCAGGCAAUUACGUUAGGUAAAUUUUCAUUUACAAUUUAUAGGCACUUUGUAAUCUACUAAUUUCUAUCCUUCUUUUUGUUGGGAACUGAUUUUCGGAGGUCUGUGCUGAUGAAUACAACACUACCUUCCUAAAAAAAAAAAAAAAAGAAGUUUAAUCAAGAAAAUUUAUGUUGCUGCUCAUAGGUUACUAGGUACAAGGUCAUGGUAGAACUUCCUUGUGGUAUAUCAAGUCAAAAUCCACGGGCAGUAAUCACAUUAGGUAUUUUUAUUUAGUUGUUAAAGGACUGCUAUAAAAAGUCUGUCAAGUUCUUUUUUGCAUUCCUUUUCUCUCACGAAACAAUUUUACUGUUUAAACGGGGUUUGUUAUGUUUCAUAGAGGCUCAUGGGGUACAAACGGCUACAAAUUACUGUACCUGGAAACUGAAGGCUGCCCAGAGUUAGAAGAAAGUUGCACCAAUCGGAGUAGCUCAAACUCCCACUAGUCCAACAUUUCCCGUGUUCCAAAUAUUGAAGUAGAUGGGAGGAAAAUUCAGAACUUAUGUAAGUCUCUGUUUCUUCUUCUAAUUUUUAAAUUUUCAUAUCUUGAUAUGAAAAUUUAUGUGUUUUUUUAUAGGUUACUAGUUCCACGGUCAUGCUAGAACGUCUCUGUGGUAAAUUAAGCCUCAUCCCAUGAGCGGCAGGCAAUUAUGUCAGAUAAAUUUUCAUAUAGGAUUUAUAGGCACUUUGUAAUCUUCUAAAUUUUGUGUCUUCCUUUUUGUUGGGAACAAAUUUUUGGAGGUCUAUGCUGAUGAAUACAACAUGAAAAUUUAUGUUGAUGCUCAUACAUUACUAGGUACAAGGUCAUGGAAGAACUUCAUUGUGGUUUAUCAAGUCAAAAUCCAUGGGCAGCAAUCACAUUAGGUAUCUUUAUUAGUUGUUAGAGGAAUGCUAUAACAAGUUUGUCAGCUUCAUUCCUUUUCUCUCAUGAUACAUUUUUACUGUUUAACCAGGUUUGUUAUGUUUCACAGAGGAACCACCACUUUUAUUUUGUUUGAAGAACAGAAUCUUCAGCUGUAGACUCAUUACGAAACACUUUCAUGAGUAUUUGGGUACUGAACAUCUUUUCGGGAAACUGUAGUCUACAUAUGAAACAUCAAAAAACUCAAAGCAUAUAGGGUGCUCAAUGUGAAGCUACACACGUCUAUCCUCUGUCUUUGCAUGAACCUAUUUGCCUUUUUAUUCUCCAUGUAAGUUUCUGCAAUUUUAUUUGACGAAUAAAGUCUGAUAUCUACUUUCAUAGGGACUUUGUAUUUAACUUUCUAUGAAAUUGUGAACUGUUAGAAUGUAACCUGUUUUAUUCCCUUUUACUUUCAAUGAUUUACUAUCUCACAGUAUUAAUGUCUGUGCCUCCCCUCUCCCAUCCGGUACGAAAUAAGAAGAAUCUUAGUAUUUGUCAUAUCUAGUCAGGUGAUAUGAUGAAGAUAAUGGAAGUAAUGGAUGGUCGGUGUGUUAUGAAUGGGCCUAGACCAGUAUUGACAAAGCAGCCCAAAGCCGAAUUAAAAGGGCUAUGUGUGGGAUCCGGGUUGAUAAAUAGAGACUUGGGAGAGCAAAAUAGUUUUAUGCAAAUUAUGUGAAGCUUUGGCUUUCUGAUCCUCUCAUCUCCUUUCUAUGGUCUAGAAUCUCAUCCCCUUCUAGUUACCCUCUUCUAUGUUAUCUAUCUAUAAUUAGUGUGUUGUUACUUUGUUGUGGGUAUUAUACAUUGUAACUUGUAUUCCGUAAUAACAAUAUAUAUAUCAGUGUUUGUGUUGAAAAUUGAGUUUGUUACAUUGGUGCUUUCAUCCAGAGGUUUCUCAUGGAGGACCAAAGACUCAAGGCUCUCAUCAAUGAAUCCAUUAAGGAGGCAAAAGAGUCAUUUUCCAAAGAUAUUGCAGACAUUCGCCAUAUGUUACAGGAGGUUACCCGAAAGUUCGUUCCGGCAGGGCCUCACAUUCGAGAUCCAACAAUGGAGGUUGCUCGUCCUCAUCACGGGAAAGGCACUCUUGAAUCCCCCACACUCCGUCAUAGGCCAGCUCCGGUGGAACUAGGACGAUUUCGUGGUGAAAAUCCAGAGGCGUGGAUUUUCCAAGCUGAAUGCUAUUUUGAUUUUUACGGAAUCGUAGAAACGCACAAGCUAACCUUGGCAUCCUUUUAUCUCAACGGUGAAGCUUUGGAAUGGUAUCAAUGGUUGUUUUGCAACAAACAACUGGCUGGCUGGGACCAUUUUGUGGACAAAUUGCUGAUUCGUUUUCGCUCCCGUACUAGGGACAAACAACGCGAGUUCUUACCCAUUCCCAGAAACAAGAAUCAUAGGGCAGUGGAGUACUCUCAGGCGGUUAGUCCAUCGUUGGUUAAUAUUGAGACUUUGGGUCCCAUGUUGGACUCCAAAUAUGACUUGAAGAACAACCCAAACGGCUAUGCCUGCAAGGUGUUCGCUGAAAUGCCCGAUAAGAAAAUUGACAUGGAAGUUGAACAUCCAGUGAUAACUGAUUCAACAAAUCUGGCAUCCCAUAUGUUUGAUGAAAAUUUUCAAACAGUUUCUGCAUUUUAAGGGAGAGUACGGUGAGCUUAUCAUGUUUGAUAAUAAUUGUCUUGCACUACCUUGUUUGCCUUCGAUUUUUAGUCGCACCCAACUUAUGGGAAGAUCUAUAUUUGAUUACUUCAAGGAAUUCGGUCAUGCUAACCUCCCAUUAUCGUUGUAUCAAUUUCCACUUGAUCAUUUCGGGUUCAGCUUUCCAUUUGAUCCUGGUUCUAGUUUGAAAGUUGGAGUCGCGCUGUGAUAAUUUGGAGCAAUGUACUGCUCAUCGGUAAAGUUGCAAGAGAACUGCCUACACCUGCUUCUAACUUGCUGAUGUUAGUAUGUAUAGCUUCCUUAAUAGCUCCAAUGAGAAUCCUCACAAUGAUAUCAAAUUGGUACUACUUGAACCUUGAGGACAAGGUUCUUAUUGGGGCUGAAGGUAUUGUUAUGAAUGGGCCUAGACCAGUAUUGACAAAGCAGCCCAAAGCCGAAUUAAAAGGGCUAUGUGUGGGAUCCGGGUUGAUAAAUAGAGACUUGGGAGAGCAAAAUAGUUUUAUGCAAAUUAUGUGAAGCUUUGGCUUUCUGAUCCUCUCAUCUCCUUUCUAUGGUCUAGAAUCUCAUCCCCUUCUAGUUACCCUCUUCUAUGUUAUCUAUCUAUAAUUAGUGUGUUGUUACUUUGUUGUGGGUAUUAUACAUUGUAACUUGUAUUCCGUAAUAACAAUAUAUAUAUCAGUGUUUGUGUUGAAAAUUGAGUUUGUUACACGGUGCCAUUGAAAUCUGCUUAAUGCUUAUGAGGUAUUCAUGAGCCGGUGACUGUGGUUGCAUCUUGCACGAAGCUUGAAAGUUCAAGGUAAGUUUUUUAGAUCAAUACUUUUUUCUCCCAAAUGCUACUUUUGAAUCAUCAUACUUAUCUAUGGAACAAUGUCAAGUCUUAUAUAUGGUAGAAAUCUAUAUAAGUUUCUUAAUAGACUCAUAAAAAACUAUCUUUAUUUUCAUGCUUUAUCAGUAGAAACUUUAUGGAUAUUUGACACACUUCUCGUUACUUUCACUUCACAGGAUAAUUUCUCCGUUGAUAUUGGAAAGUGAAUUGGAAAUAUUAUUUCCCUGUAUGUGGAAGAUCCGAAAAGGAUUCAUGAAUGAUUAAGUUUGUUGCACAUGAAUCAUGAUAAUCAGUAGAGGCUUUUUGCGUAUGUUGAAUUAAUCAUUAAAGGUCACAGACAUGAAUAAGAUUUGCGAAAAUGCAGUCUAGGAAAUGAAGUUUUUACUCAUGUUAGAUUUAAGCAGUAUAUCUUAUGAAAGAUUGAGUAUUAUUUAUUUGUCUUUUCCACUGUAUCACAAAGAAAAGAGAGGUUAAGUGAUCGAAUAACCCUUUUAUAAUUAAUGAUAAUUAUAUUAUUUUAAAUAAAAAAUUUGAUCCAAUAAAUAUUUUAUCUAAUUUUCUCAAAAAAAAAAAAAAAGAGUCCAGUGGAAUACUUGUCUUUGAUAGAAUGUGACACAUUAGGAAAUCCAGCCAAACUUGGUCAAAAUUGUGUAUUAUUGCCGGAAAACAGAACUGAAAAAUAGUAUUUUCUCCGUCCUUGAUUUAUACAUUGUCGUGUUUUAUAAUUUUUUUGAAAUAACAUAAAGAUUUCAUGUCUAAAUUUAUAGUUAAAAUAAAAAUAUUUGAUUCUCAAAAUUCAAAUAACGAGAAAGAGGGAGUACUAAGAAAAACAUGUCCACAGAACAAUGUGUUUGAUUCCUUCAAAUAAGUACUACUAUUCCUUCAUGGGAUUUUUUUUAAAGUUCGAAAUAAAAAGAAUUUACUAAAUUUAGACAAGUCAUUGAAUAAUAAAUGAGCGGGACAUUAACUAAAGAUUUCUUUAAUUAAGAUGAGUUAAACAAUUAGCCUUAGUCCACCUCGCAUUAAACUCUUACCAACUUUUUAUGGUUGUUUGCUUUCUUAGUGAUUGUCUUUAUCAAAUAAAAGUAUAAAAUCGGUUUAAUUUUUUUUUAUCACGACUAUCCAUAGCAUAUGAAGUAAAAAAAUAAUAAUUUAAAAAUCAAUAAUAUUUCUUAUUAAUUUGGGUACCAUAUUUCAAUAAUGUUUUGACUAAGCAUAUUUAAUAUUAAAAAAUAAAGGAAAGAGAGAGGGGGAGAAAUGAUAAGUACCUGAAACUGAAGAUGGCAGAGAAGAAGACUCAAUAAAUUGUGAACAUUUUCACCGAAUGAAAUAGGAAAAAAGACUUAUUUAUAAUAAGAUGUUAGGAGCAGUAAAAAAACCUCUCUCUAUUAUAAGAUGUUAGAAUUGGUAGAAAAGAUUCAAUUUAUUAUGAGAUGUUUUUACUUUUUCAAACAAAAAAUAAUAGAAAUUUUACUAUUUAAUAUUUAAUAAAUUGGACUAAGAGUUGUUAAAUUAAAAUUAGUAUAUGUAAAAUAUUGAUUUGAAUCAUUUUAGAUUGUAAUAUUUUAUCUGAGCAAAUUAAAAAUAUUACAUUUUAAAAGUCCAAUUAGUGUAUUGUUCCUUAAUUAAAUCUAUCCCCCCCCCCCGUCCCUCCUUACCCCGCUUCCCCUUCCCUUUCUCCAUCCCCAUAAUUAAUUCUAUAUGAACAUAGAUAAUAAAUAUCAUAAUGAAUAUCAAAUAAUUUUAAUGUUUCAUAUAUAUUUCUCUUUAUUACAUUAUUUGUUGUUUAAAAUUAUAGUAUCAGUAUUGAUUUUUAUUAACUUAUCAUUUGACUUAAUAUAAUUAUCAAGCGCUCUUCUUGUAGAUAUUAAACAAAUCUGUUUAUUUUUUUUACUUGUGAGUUUUAAAUUUUAUUGUUCACAUUCCUUUAAUUCAAUAUUUAUGGAUAAUAAUAUGUAUAUUAUCUAACUAAUUUAUUAUACUCUCAAAAGUAGUUCAAAAUAUUUUUCACACACAUUUUUCGCUAACAUUAUAUAUUAGCUUUAUGCCUUUAUCUUAAAACUGUCAAGUGGCUUUUAGCUUGCCACUUGACUUAACCACAUUGCAAACUACUUUGUUAUAUGUAAAUAUAUAUAUAGAUCUAGAUGAUAAUUGUGCGCUUAAUGAUUUAUACAAACAUUCAAAGAGACUGAAACGUUGCCAGAUUAAAAAAUUAGGAAAAACUACAAAAUAUAGCAAACAUCAAUUUAUAUUAUAUGUAUAUAGCUACAAUUUAUUUUUUUAACCUAUAUGGAUAUACUUACAUAUUAAUUAGCAAACUUAAUUAACCAUGAAUUGUAAGCUUUUUUUUAAAAAAAAAUUAUAUGUAUUUAAAUAAUUAUUACUAAAUAGGAAAGAUAUCACUACAUAAAUGCAAUAUAUACGUUUUAUGGUGCUAUGUUGUCCAUACUUACCUUAUUCAACAUUUUUCUCUUUCAAUAUACAUGUAUCAACGCUUUUUUUAUUAUUUUUCCUCUAAUUUCCUUCUAAUUCAAGAUCCUUUGCAUGAUUGUAUGAACGAUUUUUGUGAUUCAUCUUCGUUGGGUAUAUUCUAAUUAAUUGCAUUUUUUUCUCCUUUAUAUGAAGUUUAUAUUUAUACACAUAUAUAUGUUUCUCGAUUUUCGUAGGGUUUUAUUUUAAGAAGUUAUUUUCACCAGCAUUCAAAUAUACAAUUAAAUUCUGUUAAAAUUCACUUUGAUACAAAUGAUGUAAUACAUUUCGUUCUCUUGAUACACGCAUAUAAUUGUAUUUGAAUGUUGAACACAAUGGAAUACAUAUACAUUUGAAUACUUGUUAUUUUUUAUGAAUUGUCCAAUUAAAAUACAAGUGCAUUUGGAUACAUAAAUACAUUACAUAAAUUUGAAUGUAUACAUAUACAACACAUCUAUUUUUUUAUUGAGUGAAAUACAUAUACAUUUGGAUAAUUAUAUUGUAGUAUAGUUCUUUGACAUUUUUUCUAGAUUGUCCAAUUAUAUUGAUAUAUUAACACAAUUGUAUUGAGCAAUCUUAGGGAUACAAUAUACUUAUCAUGAAGUUCACGUAUUUGAAAUCGAAACAAACAAGAUUCAUUCACUAUUACAAUAAAUCAAUUUAACUAAAGAAAUUUAUGUGAAAUAUAUUUAUGCUUGAACAAGAACAACAUCAAGAAAGAAAAUAUGUGUACGAUGUAUCCAAAUUUUUUUAAAACUAAUUGGAAUCCUAGAGUAUAUGCAUUGACUAGGUAAUCAAAUAUGUGAAUAAAUUGUAUUCUCUUGAUUACACACAUAUAAUUGUAUUUGAAUGUUGAACAUAGUGGAAUACAUAUACAUUUGAAUACUUGUUAUUUUUUCAUGGAUUGUCCAAUUAGAAAUACAAGUGCAUUAGGAUACAUAAAUACAUUACAUAGAUUUGAAUGUAUACGUAUACAACACAUAUUUUUUUUUUUGCAUAGAGUGAAAUACAUAUACAUUUGGCUAAUCAUAUUUGUAUUAUAGUUCAUUGUCAUUUUUUUUCUAGAUUGUCCAAUUGUAUUGAUAUAUCAACACAAUUGUAUUGAGCAAUCUUAGGGAUACAAUUAUGCUUAUUGUGUAUUUGAAACCAAAACAAACAAGAUUCAUUCACAAUUACAAUAAAUCAAUUUAACUAAAGAAAAUGUAAGUGAAAUACCUUUACGCUUGAACAAGAACAAUAGCGACAAAUGAAAAAUUUGUAUACGAUGUAUCCAAUUUUUUUAAAAAAGUAAUUGGAAUCCGAGAGUAUACACAUUGACUAUGUAAUCAUUAGUUGUUAAUGUAAUAAUGGGAAGUUGAGAAUUUCAAGCAACAUAAUUAAAGGGAUUCAGUUACCUUAUUUAAUUCACUAUAAUUCUAAUUAUAUCACUGUAUAAUUUAAAAAAAAAAAACAAAUACAGCUAGAUAUUAAUAUAAAAUGUAGUUAUUUUUAGUAAAUGAUAUACUUAUAACUAUUGAACUUCAAUAACCCUAUAAAUAUAGUCAUUUAUGUAAGUUGCUCUUAAAAUUAACUGGUCUAUUAGUUAAAUGAAGGUUUUAUAUGAAUAAUUUAAUGGGCAAAUUACAGAAAUCACAUACUUUUAAGGCAAAAUUAUAAUUUAUUCCUUAAAAGUUUAUAAUUACAGAAAUCCUUCAAACGGAUACAAUAAUAUAAGCGCUGAUACAUUAAUCUGAUGCGCGAGAUACAUUAAUCGUUAAGUAAGAUACAUUACAUUUUAUACAUGAUACACUAAUCUAAUGCGCGAGAUACGAUAAUAUAAACGCUGAUACAUUAAUCUGAUGCGCGAGAUACACUAAUCUGAUGUGCGAAAAUAAGGAAUUUUGGAGAUUUGUAAAACUUAUAGGGGAUAAUGAUAAUAAGUAAACUAAAAGUUGAAUUUUCUGUAAUUUUCCCUAAUUUAAUUGAUUCAGUUGGCAAGCUAAUAUACUUUGCAAGGGGUGGAAUAGAAGAAUUUAAAUUGAGGAGUACUCCCUCCGUUCCACAAAGAAUGACCUCCUUUCCUUUUUAGUCAGUUUCAAAAAGAAUGACCUCUUUCCUUUUUUGGUAACAUUUUACUUUUUGCUUUCCGCAUGACAUGUUUAAAACCACAAGAUUCAGGGCAAUUUUGUACAUUUGACAUAACUUUAAUUUAGGACCACAAGAUUCAAAAGUCUUCUUUAUUUACUUAAACUCCGUGCCAAGUCAAACCAGGUCAUUCUUUAUGAACGGAGGGAGUAAUAGAGAAAAUCAUAUGAAUCAGAAGACCAUGAAGCUGCCACUUUUUGCUCUGCUCGAACUCAAAACUUUAGGGUCGAUGGUGAGGGAUGCUUACAAAAUGACUGUGAGAUGAAUGAUGAGUUGAAGGGUGUAUUUGGUAUGAAGGAAAAUGUUUUCCAAUUUUCUCAUGUUUGGUUGGGUUAAAUGUUUUGGAAAAUGUUUUCCAAAUCAACUCAUUUUCCUCAAAUUUAAAGAAAAUGACUUUCCUUCAAAACUUAAGGAAAACAUUUUCCAAAACUCUCUUCCAACUUCCAAUUAAAAAAAAUUGUUGAAAAAAUCAAUUUAUUUUGUCUCUACACUCAAACCAACCCCCCAACCACCCCCCCCNNNNNNNNNNNNNNNNNNNNNNNNNNNNNNNNNNNNNNNNNNNNNNNNNNNNNNNNNNNNNNNNNNNNNNNNNNNNNNNNNNNNNNNNNNNNNNNNNNNNNNNNNNNNNNNNNNNNNNNNNNNNNNNNNNNNNNNNNNNNNNNNNNNNNNNNNNNNNNNNNNNNNNNNNNNNNNNNNNNNNNNNNNNNNNNNNNNNNNNNNNNNNNNNNNNNNNNNNNNNNNNNNNNNNNNNNNNNNNNNNNNNNNNNNNNNNNNNNNNNNNNNNNNNNNNNNNNNNNNNNNNNNNNNNNNNNNNNNNNNNNNNNNNNNNNNNNNNNNNNNNNNNNNNNNNNNNNNNNNNNNNNNNNNNNNNNNNNNNNNNNNNNNNNNNNNNNNNNNNNNNNNNNNNNNNNNNNNNNNNNNNNNNNNNNNNNNNNNNNNNNNNNNNNNNNNNNNNNNNNNNNNNNNNNNNNNNNNNNNNNNNNNNNNNNNNNNNNNNNNNNNNNNNNNNNNNNNNNNNNNNNNNNNNNNNNNNNNNNNNNNNNNNNNNNNNNNNNNNNNNNNNNNNNNNNNNNNNNNNNNNNNNNNNNNNNNNNNNNNNNNNNNNNNNNNNNNNACCCACGCCCUACCAGCCCCCCACCCCCCAAAAAAAAUUUAAGUUUUUUUUAAAAAAAUAUUUUUAACUUCAAAAUUUUAAUUUUUCACCCCUACCUUUGACCCCCACUCCCUACCAGCCCCCACCCCAAAAAAAAUUAAGUUUGUUUUUAAAAAAUAUUUUCAAUUUCAAAAAUCAUUUCUACUCUAGUAAAAUAAAAGAAUUUUUUCAAAACAUUUUUCAUUCAUAAAUCAAACACAAAAAAUCUUUUUCGAAAAAUAUUUUCUACUCACCAAUCAAACAUGAGAAAAUAAGUUAAAAAUCAACUUGUUUUCCAAGAAAACAUUUUCCUUCGUACCAAACACACCCGAAAUUGCAGAAAUUCUACAAUUUGCAAUUUUUUAGUAAUGAGAUGCUUCCCAUUGAUGGUAUUCUGCAGCUGGGAUUCUGUGCCCUAACAAUAAUUGAUUUUGGAUUCCAUGCUCUUCCUCAUACUCUUGCCAAUCUGGAAUUCUUACAUGUUAUGCCCAAAUUGCUGUGUCAUUCCAGUUGGGCAUUCAGUUUUGGACCGGUAUUAUUUUCCCUCUCCCAAUUCUCUUUCUCUCUCAUUCUCUAACCCUAGCUAAUUCUGCCAUUUAUGGAGUUGUACUAUUUCCCUAUCAUUCUAAGGCAUUGCAAUUUGAAUUUCGCACCCAAACACAUUUGUGAUUUCAGCUCUCCAGAUCAUAUGGAUUUUGUGCAAAACAGAUAAUGCAGUUUGAGAUAUUGAGCAUUUUACUUAGCAAUUGGUACAACAAGAGCCUUAAUACUGCUUAUAGAAGAGCCCUAAAAUGCUUUUUUCUUUUUGGAGGAAGUUUGGCUAAGUUUAUAACCUGGUUAAAUUGGCUUUAUUUUGACAAAGUUUUAUUAUUUUAUCCUUUUUUUAAUUCUCCGAAAAUCUUUACUAAAACAAAACGCCUUCAAAGUUACAGGAUUGUUUCUUAGAGAGAUAUUUGUGUCAUUGGAGUACUGAAUGCCACUCAUUUUUUUUUGAAUUAUUGUAUAUGAAUUUUAGUGGUCCAUAAACAACUAGCAAAAGAAGACUUUGGUGCAAAGGAAGAAGACAAAUUUGAGAAGGAGCAAACGCAACAAUUGCCGACCCUGUAAUUGGUGCUACUGUUCAGGUUGUGCUUGAGAAACUGCUUUCUCUCACCAUUGAGGAGGCCAGAAGUUUAAGGAACUGCAAGAAAAAUCUCAGAAUGCUGACAAAAUAUGUAUCCAUCGAUGCACAGGCUGUGGAACAAUGGCUCAAGAUGCUUGAGAGAAUUGCUUAAGAUGCUGAAAAUGUGUUUGACAAAUUCACAUAUGAAUCUCUCAAAGCACAAGUGAUGAGCAUCCAAAACAGCCCAAUGAGAAAGGUCAGUGGUUUCUUUUCUCAUACUGCUUUUAAGAGCAAAAUGACUCGAAAAAUAAAAAAACAUCAAUGAAGAGUUGACGUCUAUCAAUCAGUUAGCCAAAGACCUUGGUCUCCAAUCACUGAUAGUUCCGUCUCAGAAAAUAUUACCUAUUUGAGAAAUAGAUUCCUUAGUAGUUGCUUCGGAUGUCGUAGAGAUAACGAUGUUGCUGAAAUUAAGGAGAAGAUGUUGAACAUGAGAAAGGAAGUUGUUCUGUGCACCAUUCCCAUAGUGGGCAUGGGAGGUUUAGGGAAAACUAGUAUUUGCUAAGAGAAUUUUCAAUGAUGAAGAGAUAGAAAAACACUUUGAAAAGAGAGUUCGGAUGGGUCUACCUGAAAUGUCAGAGACUAAGAGCUUUCUUGAAUAGAUCCCCGAAACAUUGACAGAGAGGAAACUUGAGGUCUCUUGGUAUCACUUUUCUUCAGCCUCACAAGUUCCAACUGGAUUAUGCCAGAACAUAUACCAGAUCUUCUAAGUUGUUGGAUCAGGAGAGGGGUAGCAAGUCCCAGAAAAGAUGGCGGAGAGCAAUUCCUUUGUGUAUUUGGUGAACAAUAUGGAAGAAAAGAAAAGGGAGGUGUUUUGAGGGCAGGUCUAAUACUCUGCAAAAGAUUAAAUGGAAUUGCAUCGUAGAUUUUCACUUUUGGUGUAAACUAGCAAAUGUAGAAUAUGUUCAAUCGGUAGAUUUUUUAGGCUCUUUGUAAUUAGCCUUAGUUAAUAGUUAUAACUCGUUGUUGAUAACUUUUUGGAGGUCUCCAGCAUAUCCUUAAUGCUGAGGAAUACAAAUUACCAGUUUUCAAAAAAAUUGAUGAUAGGAGUGUUUAUUGCAUUCUCGUGAUUCUGAUUAAAUUCCACCUAGUUUCCCCCUUUCUUUUGUUGUAUUAAUGUCUGACCCUUCCUCUCUUCCAACCUGUACUAAAGAAGAAGAAACUCAAUAGUUGUUAUAUCUAUUCAGGUUGUAUCGUGAAGAUAAUAAAGGGUAUACAUGGGAGGUGCCCUUUUUCGAAUUCUGUUCAUGAGUUGCAGCUCAAAUAAAUUCUCACUGAUUAUUUUUAUGAAUUCAGUGGUGUUUUAAAUUUUUCAUAAGCAUCCCCUUUUCAUCUUUGGUGGUAACUAUUUUUGUUCACUAGCUUGAUGAAGGAUCUAAGGUGAUAGUUGGUGAAAAUGUAUUAUUCACUUGCUGUAAUAACAUGAUUUCUAAUCUCGGGGUGCUGGAACAUACAUGUUUCAAAUCGAUGAUGAGCAUGUUAUAGAUGCCACAAGGGCUGGAAGCAUUGCACAUUCAAUCAAUUGUUUUUUGAAGAACGUAAAAUCCUUCUUACCUAGUCCCUUUUCCUUUGAUGGUUUUUUUCUCUUUGGGUAAAUUGUUGUUUCCACAAUAGCACCUGCAUUACAUGAACAAAGAUGAUGUGAGGCUCAUUCUCUUGGGGUAAUGUGCUGUUUUGCGCCUGAAAACAGACUUGUGGAACUGGUCUUGUUGUUUGGAAUGGAAACUCAUCAGGCUUGUGUCUACGAGGACUGAGGAACUUGAUUUCUUAAGCAUUAUUCAAAAUCAUAAUGGAAAGUUUGCCGAAUUUUUUAGUAAUUUGGUAAUGUUUUCCUUUGUUGGUUCUAAACUGCCUUUUUUUCAACAAACAACUUCACUAUGUUAAUACAUAAUAGGUCUCAGACAAUAACAUGUAUUAGCAGGUAAUCAGAUUUAACUUUUUCAGAUUAACAUAACCCUCAUACUAUAAUUCUAUUCAGAGCGUCAGUAAUGAGAAGGGAAAUAGAUAAAUUAGCUAAACAGUUCUAAACUGCCCAAUAUAUGUCAACUAUUAAUUGGAAAGUGACUGCCAUUCAUUAGAAAUAAAAACAACACAGAACCACCACCCAAAAAUAUUUAUUUAAAGGAUGAUUAGCUAUUAUUCCACAAAAGAAUUCUUUAUUCAAAUUAUUGUCUAUGAAUUAUUCUCUUUCUUGUAGAGGCUGGCAAACAACUAUCAAAAGAAUACUUCUGCAAGAAAUUUGAGAAGAUUUUGGUGUAUAGAGGAAGAAAACAACUUUGUAAAGAGCAUUGCAAUGAUGGCCGAUCUUGUAAUUGGUGCUACUGUUAAAGUUGUGCUUGAUAAACUGCUUUCUCUCACUAUUGAGGAGGCUAAAAUUUUAAGGAACUACAAGAAAAAUCACAGAAUGCUGACAAAAUAUGUAUCCAUGAUCAAGAUCUCAUUCAUGAUGCUGAAAAACGACAAGUUGAUGAUCAGGCUGUUGAACAAUGGCUCAAGAUGCUUGAGAGAGCUGCUGAAGAUGCUGAAAACGUGUUUGAUGAAUUCAGAUAUGAAUCUCUCAAAGCACAUGUGAUGAACAUCCGAACCAAACUAAUGGAAAAGGUCAGCAACUUCUUUUCUCAUACUGCUUAUAAGUACAAAAUGUCUCGAAAAAUCAACAACAUCAAUGAAGAGUUGAGGGCUAUCAAUCAGUUAGCCAAUGACCUUGGUCUCAAAUCACUGAUGGUUCCUUCUCGGAAAAUACUUCCGAUUCGAGAAACAGAUUCCGUAGUUGUUGCUUCGGAUGUUGUUGGUAGAGACAAAGAUGUUGCUGAAAUAAAAGAGAAGAUUUUGAACAUGAGAAAUGAUGUUGUUCUGUGCACCAUUCCCAUAGUGGGUAUGGGGGGUUUAGGGAAAACAACUGUGGCUAAGAGAAUUUUCAAUGACCAACACAUCAAGCAGCAGUUCGAAAAGAGAGUUUGGUUGUGCCUACCUGAAAUGUCAGAAACUAAGAGCUUUCUUGAAUUGAUCCUCGAAUCACUGACAAAGAGGAAAGGUGAGGUCCAAAGCAGAGAUAUAAUAGUCAAGACGCUACAAGAUGCACUGGGACAAAAAAAGUAUUUGCUUGUCCUGGAUGAUUUGUGGUGUGUUGACUCUACAUCGUGGCAUGAGUUCAUGGACACCUUGAAAGGAAUCAAUACAUCCAGAGGAAUCUGCAUUCUCGUGACUACUCGUAUCAAACAAGUGGCAUCCACAAUAGCAGUAGAUCUUCAUAUGUUGGGGAAAUUAACAGACUAUCAUUGUUGGUCCAUUUUCAAACAAAGAGCGUUUGUUGGUGGGGAAGUUCUGGAGGAAAUACUGAGCAUGGAAAACAAGAUUGUUGAAAUGUGUCAAGGUCUACCGUUGGCUGCAAGUGUGUUGGGAGGCCUCUUAUUCAACAAGGAUAAACAUGACUGGCAAGCAAUUCUUGAUGGCAACCCCCUUGUUGUAGGGGAAGAUGAUCUUCGGGAAAAUAGCAUAAAGAAGAUCCUAAAACUAAGCUAUGAUUAUCUAUCAUCUCCACAUCUGAAGAAAUGUUUUGGUUACUUUGCAAUGUUUCCAAAAGAUUUUGAGUUUGAGAAGGACCAACUAAUCCAACUCUGGAUGGCUGAAGGGUUUCUUUGUCCAUGUCAAGAGACCACUGUGAUGGAAGACGUCGGGAACAAGUUUUUCCAACUCUUGUUGCAAUAUUCUUUGUCGCAAGAUGUUAAGCUAGAUGAGCUCAACAAUAUAACACUGUAAGAUGCAUGAUCUUGUGCAUGAUUUGGCUGGAGAUAUUUUAAAGUCUAAACUAUUUGAUCAAAAAAGUGUAGGAGGAGAAAAUCUUUCUCAAGUCCAAUACUUUGGAUGGGACUCACCAAGUGAUAAAAUAGAUAAGAUAAACAAGUCAGGACAUUUGUGCACAUUUUUCUGGAAAAGAAAUAUAUCUGAAGAUAUGUUGUUGAGCUUUCAGUUCUUGAGAGUUAUAAAUUUGUCCAGGUCAGGCAUUGAGGUAUUGUCAGCCAAAAUCGGCAAGCUAAUAUACUUGAGAUAUCUUGAUCUCUCCAGCACUGAGGUCAAAGACUUGCCCAACUCCGUUUGCAAGCUCUACAAUUUGCAAACAUUUAGAGCCAAUGGUUGUUCUUCACCGAGGAAGCUCCCAGAAGAAAUAGCAAAUAUGAUAAGUUUGAGACACAUACAUUACCAAUCUGAAAUUGAUUAUCAGUUUCAGAUGCCACUUAAUAUGGGGCAAUUGAUCAGUCUUCAGACGCUACAAUUUUUCUAUGUAGGUGUAGAGAAAGGUCGUCAAAUAGAAGAAUUAGGUCGUUUGAAAAACCUUAGAGGUGAAUUGACAAUCAAACGUCUACAAUUAGUCGGCAAUAAAGAAGAGGCUCAAACUGCAUAUUUACUGGAGAAACCAAAUAUCUACAAGCUGGUGUAUUUAUGGUCCCAUGAUGAAUCAGAAGGCUGUGAGAUCAAUGAUGAGCAUGUGUUGGAUGGUCUUCAACCACAUCCUAACUUGAAAACCUUUGUAGUGGAGAACUAUUGGGGGACUAUAUUUCCUCUUGGUUCAAUGAAGAAUUGAUGCCAAAUUUGGUCAUGUUGAAAUUAAGUGGUUGCAAGAGGUGCAAAGAUAAUCUAUCGCUUGGUCAACUGAAGUUCCUUCGGCAUCUUGAGCUGAUAGGAUUCCUUGAAUUGGAAUGCAUUGGACCUACAUUUUAUGGUGUUGAUAAUGGAUCAAGCAGCAAUAAUGGCAAAAUUCAAGUGUUCCCGUCAUUGAAAGAACUAGUAUUGAAGGAUAUGCAUAGCCUAAUAGAGUGGAAGGGAGAUGAAGUUGGAGUAAGAAAUGUUUCCUGGGCUUGAGAAGUUGACAAUUACAGAGUGUUCACUGUUAAAAAGUGCUCCAACUCAAUUGGAAACCCUGCGUGAAUUAGAAAUUGAAAGAGUUGACAGUGAAAUGCCAUUGUUGAACUUGUGCAGCAACUUAACAUGUCUUGUGGAUCUCGAUGUCAGUGAUGUGAAAGAGCUCACUUGUCUACCUGAUGAGAUGCUACGCAAGAACGUUUCUCUUCAACGCCUGUGGAUCUCAGAUUGCAGAAAGUUUUGUGAAUUGCCACAGAGCUUGUACAAUCUCCAUUCCCUUGAGAGCUUACGAAUAUCCUUCUGCCCCAAUUUUAGUUCUUUUCCUGUUCCCAGUGGAGAGAAUUAUUUAACUUCCCUCCGAAGGCUUCACUUACUUUAUUGUGAUGGAUUGACCAGUUUACCAAAUGGAAUGCUAGAACAAUGCCGGUCUCUAAAGAUUUUGAGGGUCAGCAACUGUAAGAACUUGGUUUCCUUCCCUUUACAUGUGUGGGAAGUACCUUCACUUUCCAUUUUGGAUAUGUCAAAUUGUCCCAAAUUGAUUAGUCUACCCACAGGAGGCCUUCACCAUCUCACUGGGUUAUGGGAUUUGAAAAUUGGUCCUUUCUCAGAGAUUGUGGAUUUUGAGGCAUUCCAAUUGAUUUUUAAUGGCAUUCAGCCGCUAUUGUCCCUUCAUACGUUGUGGGUGUACGGACAUGGGCACUGGGAUUCUCUUCCCUAUCAGCUUAUGCAACUCUCUUCCCUAAUUGAGAUCAGAUUAAGUGAUUUCGGUAUCGAUGAUCUUCCUCAUAGUCUUUGCAAUCUUACUUCUCUUGAAACAUUACAUCUAGUGGGGUGCAAACGGCUACAACAUGUGGACUUCAGAGAUGCCAUGCCCAAAUUACAUUAUCUUGAGAUCUGUGGUUGUCCAUUGUUAGAAGCUCUGUCGGAUGGGCUCAGCAACCCUGUUUGUUUGGAAAUGUUAAUUUUUUGGAACUGCGAAAUACUGGAGCGUCUGCCAUCCAGAGAUGUCAUGCGAAGCCUCACGAAAUUACAGUUCCUGAAAAUUAAAGACUGCCCACAGUUAGAAGAAAGUUGCACCAAUUGGAGUAGCCCAAACUCCCAGUGGUCCAACAUUUCCCAUAUUCCAAAAAUUAAAGUAGGUGGGAGGAUAUUCAGAACUUAACAAUUUCAAAUUUCAAAAUUCUAUUCCUGCUCAACACAAAUGAAGAACCCUAAUUUUUCCCUAUAAAUACUUACAUUUCAGAGCUUAUUUGGGAGGAUUUUUUUCAAAAUCUGGCAGCCCCUCACCUCUAAAAUUUUUAGUUAUUUCUCCUCUAAACCAUCUCUUCUAUUUUCGUAUUUUACCAUUUUCUUUGGCAUUCCAGUCGCAGCAAUAGUUUGUGUGUUCGUUUCGACCAUUAACGGUGGUCAUCAGAGUUAGUAAGUAGAUCUAAGAUCGAGACCGCAAGCCCCCGUUCACUACCCCGCAGCAGGUGAUCUUUGUCCCUUUACUUUUACUUCUAUUAUUGUCUCCGUGAAAAUGUUAUACCUAUUGUAAGAAAAACCAUGCGUCAAGUAUAAUACUCACUUAUUUUUAGCUAUCAUGAAAGUGAUGUUUAAAAAUUAUGUUUUUUUUUAUUUAGUUUGAGGCCUGGAGAGAUUUGAGUUCAUAUCUCCUUCACAUUUUAAUUUAAAGAAUGAUUUGUUUUGGAAGGGGUUGGUGAUAUGUAAUCUGUUUUUGGUUCAAAGUUUGGUAUUUAUUUGUAUCUCUAUGUGAUAAAUAGAUAUUGUUUUCGCUAUUCUUAUGUUUUAAGAUUAUUAUGUUGUGUUGAGAAUCAUGUCAUAGAUAUAUCUAUUUAUUUGUUUUAUAUGCAGAGAAAUUGAAUACAAACUUGCCGCAUUUAUUAGUAAUCUUGGUAUUUAGAAGCUGUGGCCUUAUUUAUGCUUAAACUCGCCAAUGAAUUUUAAAUUGAAUAAAAAGCAAAAUCCUUGUGCUAAAGUUUAUUGCUAUAUUUUUUUUAUUUUUUCUUUUUCUCAACAGUAUGUAUUAAAAUAUAUUUUGGAAAGAAAAGUUGCUUAUUGGAUUCAGAUUUGGUUCUAAUUUGACUUGUGAAUGCUACUUUUAUAAAUAUUAUAUAUAGUUCGAGCUUUAGUUUCUUCUUACAUUGUAUAUUUGAACCAAAAUGUGCUAUACAUUGUAACUCAAUAAUAUUACCUUAGAGACCUUUCUAUAAUUAACUAAAUAGGCCUUAGAUAUUAAAUAAAUAUAUUUGUUUAUAUAUUGUAUCCAGGUGAAGGUUUUGUUUCUUGUUUAAUAUGUUGUGAUGUGUUGUGAUGAUUGCUAUCCUUUAACGAGAAUGGUAUUGGUUUAAUUUAAAGGCUUUGAGAUAUUUAUUCACUGUAAGCAUGCUUGUAAAUAUUAGUUAAAGAAAUUUUAUUUUCUUCCUAUAGAAGAAUGUAUAAGUUAGUUGGGUGUUACAAUUUAUUUCAUACUUACUAUUAAGGUACUUGUGUUGGAAUUGAAUAAAUAGAAUGUAUAUUUGUUUCACCUAUUAGUUACCUGCAUGUCUAAUCCUUUUAUUUCUCUUAUUGUUGUACAUGUACACUUUGGGAGGAAAAAACGGAGUUUUGAUUAGGACUCUACCAAUUAUUGAGUCUCAUAGACUCAACAUUAUCCUCACACUUGCACAUGGAGUCUUCACUACAUCUUUUGACCAUUCGAAAUUGCAAGCAAAACAAGUGGUCCUAUCUUGGAGUCACUUAUGGCUACUUACAUUUUGCAUUAAUUGUUUACGUGUUUUUCUUUACGUGUUAUACUUGCUUGUGUGAUUUAGAUAUUUCUAGUUUGGAUUCAUGAUAAUUGACUUAAUAUAGAUGUUUGGAUUUGGGUUCCUUUAGUUAGAAACUAAACCUUAUUAGUUACUUUACCUUUUAUAAACUUCAUUUGGCAAACCUUUUUUAAAAAAUACUUCUUUUUGCACCAUUUUAAUCUCACUAGAUUUAUUAAGUUUGGUUCAAACUUGGCAAUGUCUUACAAAGAAAAUUUGUUGUUCUAAACUCUUAUUUUUCUAAAACUUUUUCUAACGGGAGCACCUUGUCAGUCAAUGAGCAAGUGUCUAUUUUUUUAAUUACUUAUUUUUAGCCAUGGAUUUUUAGCCACGGAUUUAAGAUUUUACUCUUUCUUAAAUCUUUUUCAUUCUAAUAAAUUGCAAAAGAGCUUUUAAAAUAAAAAAUGUUUUCCAACUUGGUUAUUCAAUCACUUAAUAUUUAGCACUCAUAUCUUUCUUUUAAAAUUAAUUAACCUAAGUUUGGUCGGUAAUCGUAUUUUUAACGAAUCUUAAAGGAUGCCUUACCCCCUUCCCUUUAGGAUAAUUAGAACCCUUACCUAGAAUCUUAAGUUUUAGUUUUACUUAGUUAAAUAUUUAGGUGUCCUAAUUCACCAUAAUUAAUUAGGUGGCGACUUCUUAAGUUAAUUAAUUUGGAAAUCACCAAUAUGUUGUACACGUUUUGACCUCGAGUUAAUGAGGUAUAGCACACACCCCCCUAAAGUUAGGUGUGGUGCAACAACGCCUAACUUGGAUAAACACCAAAAGAAGGCAGGCUUGGGUAGCGGCUUUGUGAGAGUGUCUGUAAUUUGAUCCCCGACCAUAACAAACUUAGGUUAAUAAUUAAGUUUUUAACAUCUGUUUGUUUCAUUUUUGUUGUGUGUUUUAAUGCCUAAAUGAUUUACUUAUCAUGCUUAUGUGAAUAUAAACUGCUUAUUUGUAGUAGCUUUAUAUAAAUUGUUUAUUUGUUACUGUUAUGAAACACCAAUAUUAUCACAAAAAAAUCUUGGCGUUUGCGAGACUUGAUAUCGUAAUUCAGUCAAUAGAUUGUGUACCCAAGUAAGUUCAGAGAGUGCAUUGGCUACCGAUUUGUAUUCUGCUUCAAUAGAGGACCGAGCAACUAAUUGUUGCUUUUUAGAGGACCAACAGAUCAGAUUUGGUCCCAAGAAGAGUAUGUAACCAGAUGUGGAUAUUCUGUCAGAGGGAUCACCUGCCCAAUCAGCAUCGGCGUACAUAUACAUAUUACUAUUAGAGUGGCUAGAGAUUUGUAGGCACGACGUUGAUGAUGCCUUGAGGUAUCGAAACACCUUUUUUACUGCUUUCCAAUGCUCCAGACUUGGGGAUUGCAUAAACUGUGAUAGUUUGUUAACUGCAAAGGCAAUAUCAGGACGCGUGAAUGAUAAGUAGUGCAAUUUACCAAUGGUGCGUUGAUACAAGGUUGUAUCGGCAUGAGGUGAACCAUCGGCUGCUUUGGGUGGUAAACUUGAGCACAUGGGUGUCGUAACUCCUUUACAGUUGGCCAUAUCCACAUCUCAAGUAUGUAUCUGGAUUGUGAAAAGACAAUCCCAUUUGGAACAUUUUGACUUCGAUCCCCAAAAGAUAGUUGAGUUCACCCAGGUUCUUUAGAGAGAACUUGUAAGCCAGAGAGUUGAUUACAUGUGUGACCAAGUUUGGGUAAUUCCCAGUAAUGAGGAUAUCAUCAACAUACAAUAGAAUAUACAUCGUGACAGCUUCAGAUGUAAAAAUAAACAGAGAAGCAUCUGAUUCAGACUUAACAAACCCAAUUUUAGUCAAGUGAAAUUUGAGAGCUUCAUACCAUGCACGAAGAGCUUGUUUUAGGCCAUAAAUGGCCUUUUGGAGAUGGCAGACAUGAUUGGGAAAAUCAGGGUUGACAUAGCCUUUCGGCUACGCCAUGAAUACUUGCUCCUGUAAGUUACCUUACAAAAAUGCAUUAUUUACGUCAAGCUGCUGCACUUUCCAAUUAUUUUGAACUGCAAUAGAAAGUACAAUUCUGAUGGUGGUUGGUUUGACAACCGGACUGAAAGUUUCAUGAAAGUCCAGUCCUGGACAUUGUGUGAAACCUUUUGCAACUAAUUGCGCCUUGUAGCUGUCAAUAGAACCAUCAUCUUUCCUUUUAAUGUGAAAUAACCACUUACAAUCAACAACAUUAUUUAUCGGGUCCCUAAGUACUAGUUCCCAAGUUUGGUUUUUCAUUAAGGCUUCAUAUUCCAGAUCCAUUGUAUUCUUCCAUUCAAUGUGCUUAACUGCUUGCUUAAAGGUAUUUGGAGUGGGAGAAAGGUAGGACAAGAAGCUGAAUUUUUUCUUUGGUGUGAAGAUAUUAUUUUUGGACCUUGUGACCACACCGGAUGGUGGAGGGACAGCAACUGGUGACAUAAUUGUUAGCUGUUGCGGUGGAUGUUGGUUGAUUGGUGGCCGACGGGAAUAAUAUAAUGGUUGAGAGGUGUUGUGGGCUGCUUCAUUAAAUAGUGAAUGAGGUUGGGAAGAGAUAAGAAUCAUACCUGAUGAAGUGGAGACUGCUGGUAGUUGCCUUUCAAUUAUGGACUCUGGAGUGUUUGAAUGAGAGGGAACUGUUAGGGUGAUAGGAAUAGGAGGCGGAAGAGUUGGAACAAGAUUGAAGUCCAAAUUUAAUUGGACUUCCGGAUGAGUAUCCUUACCGACUUGGGACUCUAUGAUUUCCCAUUAUAACGUGGAAAACAUAUUUUUCAAGUGUGAGAACAUUUGAGUGAAAGGAAAAAUAUCUUCACAAUAUUGAACAUCACGACUGACGAAAAUUUUUGAGUGCAUAGGAUUAAAGCAGAGGUGUGCAUGAUGAACAAUAGAAACUCCUAAGUAGACACACAGUGUAGAUCUAGGCUGAAAUUUAUUUUUUGUAUAUGGCUUAAGCCAUGGAUAACAUAGACAACAAAAAAUUUUCAGCGAAGAGUAUUUUGGCGGUUCGCCAAACAAUUUUUUAUAAGGAGAAUCAUUAUUCAAGUCAGGUGUAGGUAGUCUAUUUAUGAGAUAGACAGCAUGGUGACAGGCAAAUGACCAUAGUUUAGAUGAUAGUGAGGCUUCAUUGAGAAUAGUUCGAGUUGUUUUGACAAUGUGACGAUGUCGUCGUUCAGCAAUUGCAACUCAUUGGGGCGUGUAGGGUGGGGAGAUCAAAUGUUGAAUGCCAUGGCAUUGUAGGUACUGUUUAAGACUUGUGUAUUCAUCCCCUCCAUCAGUAUAAAGUGAGACAAUUUUGUGUUUGGAAAUUUUUUCCACUAAAGGAUGAAAGUUUGUAAAAAUUGAAGCGACUUCACUUUUGUUUUUGAUUGUAUACAACCAAGUGUAUUUGGUGUAAUGAUCAACAAAAAUGCAGUAAUACAACUUUUUAUCAAUGGAUAAAAUGGGUGAUGGACCCCAUAAAUCACUAAACAAAGUUUGAAGUGGUGCAUUACUAUUUAAAGUGAGUCGUUGAAAUGGCAAACGAUGAGCUUUAUUUGAUGAGCAUGAAUUACAAAAAUGAAACUUUUCUUUGGUGGAAAAGGGAAGUGAAAAUUUAUUCAGUACUAAGUCUAGGAUUUUCAGAUAACGGUGACCCAAGCGACGAUGCCACAAUUGACGAGAAACUUUGGUGGAGGUGAAGUUGGCGGAAGGUGACACAUGAUCCCUCUGUGGCCACUCAUAGAGUCCGUGUUUAUUCUAGCCUUGUACCAGCAGUCUCCGAGUUUUGAGAUCCUUCACAAGAAAUGAGUGUGGGAAAAAUUCGAUUGAGGUCAGAUUGUCAGUGCAAAACUUAGCAACAGAAAUAAGGUUCUUUUUGAUAGCUGGAGCACAAAGAGUGUUAGAGAGCAUGAAAUUGGAGUUAGAAGCCUUAAUUUGAGUAAAAUCAGUGUGAGUAAUAAGAAUAGUUUUACCGUCACCUAUGGACAUUUCCUCAUUGCCAGUGUAUUCUUCAAGAUUAUCUGACUCAAUUGUGACAUGAUGAGUUGCUCCAGAGUCGAUGAUCCAAGGAUUUGCAUUUGAGUGAUGAUUUGACACAAAGUUGACCUUAGCUUCAAAGUGGUUGUGCGAUUUUGAGCGACACACAUCAGCUGUGUGACCGAUCUUUUGGCAAAGUUGGCAUUUUACUGCUUGCCUGGGUAGUCUCCCAUUCUGUUGAUUUCCAGGGACCGCCUGUCGUGGAGCUUGUGGUCUUGAAGAUUGAUUUGGGAAGCGAUGAUUAUUUUUUGAUGUUGGGGCUGGAAGUUGGUCCUUUGUGCAACUGCAGCUGUAAUGAUAGAGGAUGACCUGUCAAUAUCUUGAUGUUUGAGAAAGAGUUCAUGGUCCGUGAGUUUCUGGAACAACUCCUCAAAGCUUAGGGCUGUUUCGCGCGCUCUUAUAGCGGCAGUGAUUUCACGGUACUCAUGACCUAGGCCACUCAAAAUCUUGACUGCUAGUUCAUCAUUAUCCACCGGAGAGCCCGUUACUUUGAAAGCAUUAGCAAUUGAUCUGAUCUCUUGUAGGUAAGUAGCAACUGUCUUGGAGGCCUUUUUCAUGUUUUGCAACUGAUCUCGUAAGCUGAAGAUGCGAGUGUGACUCCUAUUGGCAUAAGCUAUAUGAAGGAGAUCCCAAGCUAUUUUUGCCGAAGAGGCAGUUGCAACAAUAGGAGCAAUGGUGGGGUCAACGGAUGCCAUCAUUGCCUGUUGAAUUAGUUGGUCCUGGCAAAACCAUAGCUCAUAUUCAGGAUUGGAGAUGGUACUAUCAGUUUGUGUGAUAGUGGUUGGCGGAGCAGAUUGGCACCAGUGAGAUGCCCAAGGAGCUUGUGUCCAUUGAGUAGCAUCACUAGUUGCGCCUUCCAGGUGCUAAAGUUGAGGUUACCUUGCAGUUUGAUAGGUAAUUGGGCAGCUGGAUUGAACUGUACCACAUGAGUGGUAGUCGGAACUGCAGCAGCCCUAUCAUUGGUGGUAGCAGGAACAACCAUGUUUGGACGCAAAGAGAGGAAAAAAACUUUGGAUCGGACUCGUGAGAGAGGGGGUCUAAUACCAUAAGGAGAUUGAGAAUCAAAGCAAACUUGAAUGAAUCUUAUUCAAAUGUUACAUAACUUAAAUACAGGUAAGACGUAACUAACUUGACUAAUUCUAAGGAACUGUUCUAACAACUUAAUAUGUAACUAAGUUGACUAAAACUAAGGAACUACUUUAACAACUUAAUCUAAAUCUACUCUAACAACCUGAUAAGAAUUAAUAACAAACUAACAAACUAGUGAGUAUGUCAACAAUAACUUUUAUGAAUAGAUGACACACUUGUCGUUACUUUCACUUCACAGGACAAUUUCUCCGUUCAUUAAACUUUCGUCAUUGAUGGACUUCAACAGAGAUAGUUGUCAUGAAUCAUUUAGCAAAUAAUGCCCCAUUGGCUCUUAAAAUGUCCUUAGCAACAUCUGCUCAUCUUAGCAGGUCUUGCGUUCUCCUUUUUUUAGUGGUUACUUGUAAUGAUUUUCUUCUCCAUUCUCCCAAGGAGGAAACGUGUGCCAAAACUGACUUUUUACCAUUUCUGGAAUUAUUUCAGAUUCAUGUUUGAAACACGAGCAUGGACCUCGUCGAAAUGGUACUUGUGUUAGAUGUGUUACAGUUUCAUAAUUGGCAAGGGAAAUUGCAUUCGGUAAACUCGUUUGCAUUUGGCUGAAACUGGAUUUGAGAUAUUAUAUCCUUGAAUGUGGAAAAUCCCGGAAGUGAAACUAGUAGACCUUUGAUGUUGGUCUAAUUCUAAACUGAAUUAA